AUUGAACGCUGGCGGCAUGCCUUACACAUGCAAGUCGAACGGUAACGCGGGGCAACCUGGCGACGAGUGGCGAACGGGUGAGUAAUGCAUCGGAACGUGCCCAGUAGUGGGGGAUAGCCCGGCGAAAGCCGGAUUAAUACCGCAUACGACCUACGGGCGAAAGGGGGGGAUCGCAAGACCUCUCGCUAGUGGAGCGGCCGGUGUCAGAUUAGGUAGUUGGUGGGGUAAAGGCCCACCAAGCCGACGAUCUGUAGCUGGUCUGAGAGGACGACCAGCCACACUGGGACUGAGACACGGCCCAGACUCCUACGGGAGGCAGCAGUGGGGAAUUUUGGACAAUGGGCGCAAGCCUGAUCCAGCCAUGCCGCGUGCGGGAAGAAGGCCUUCGGGUUGCAAACCGCUUUUGUCAGGGAAGAAAUCUUUUGAGUUAAUACCUCGGAAGGAUGACGGUACCUGAAGAAUAAGCACCGGCUAACUACGUGCCAGCAGCCGCGGUAA
RNAcentral lists this ribosomal RNA (498 nucleotides) under uncultured bacterium. Its description in RNAcentral is "partial 16S ribosomal RNA". It matches the Rfam family "Bacterial small subunit ribosomal RNA", at positions 29 to 523 of the family's 1533-position model. The record is from RNAcentral.